Molecule: small RNA, 165 nt
Filed under: Staphylococcus aureus
Lineage: Bacteria; Bacillati; Bacillota; Bacilli; Caryophanales; Staphylococcaceae
Description: 5'UTR
Source: RNAcentral
AUAUUAGUUGUUUGAUUUAAGACCAAACUUUUUGUUGAAACGUUCCACACGUCCAUCCGCAGCAGCGAAUUUUUGACGUCCAGUGUAGAAUGGAUGUGAAUCAGAUGAAAUAUCUAAACGAAUAACUGGGUAUUCUUUUCCAUCUUCCCACUCCAUCAUUUCUGA